UGUUUGUUGGAGAGAAUAACAAGUAAAUUCUGCCCACUGUAAAUUGGUUAAUAAAGGGCUGCGGUAUUUUAUAACUGUAUUAAGGUAGCAUAAUCAUUAGUUUCUUAAUUAGAGACUGGUAUGAAGGGUAAACGGGGGAAUGGUAUAUUUUGAGAUGAUGUGAAAUUAAUUUUUAUGUGAAAAAUCAUAAUUAUGGAAAGGGACAAGAAGACCCUAAAAGUUUGAUUCUUUGUUAUAAGAUUUAGUUUAGAAAGAGUAUAGAGGGAUUAGUAUGACUUAUAAUUUUGGAGUUUGGCUGGGGCGGCAUAUUUAUAAACAAAAAAUUUUUUUAAUUUAGAUUAAGCGUUUGGGUAGAUCUGGUUAGAUAGUUGGACCAAUUUUAAGAGAAAUUACUUUAGGGAUAACAGCGUAAUCAUUUUUGAGAGUUCUUAUUGACGGAAUGGUUUGCGACCUCGAUGUUGGAUUA
Molecule: ribosomal RNA, 466 nt
Filed under: Hylomus saiyans
Lineage: Eukaryota; Metazoa; Arthropoda; Diplopoda; Polydesmida; Paradoxosomatidae
Description: Hylomus sp. 2 ADN-2019 partial large subunit ribosomal RNA
Rfam family: Archaeal large subunit ribosomal RNA
Source: RNAcentral